Molecule: long non-coding RNA, 1209 nt
Organism: Sapajus apella (tufted capuchin)
Lineage: Eukaryota; Metazoa; Chordata; Mammalia; Primates; Cebidae
Exons: 2
Source: RefSeq, a predicted model, not a curated record
AUUGGUGAGAAAGAAUCAACAAAAAUUUAGUGUACACAGAGGGAGGUGAAAGAGGUAGAUAGAGGUGAGAUAAAGGUAGAAUAUUGUAAGCCAUGAUAAGGAGCUUAUUAAAUAGAUUGUUAAUUCUAUGAGAAGCCAUUAAAAUAAGGUUUUAAGUGGAAGGAUGCUACCAUGUGACGUAGGGUUUGAAAAGAUUACUUUGGCUCUCAUGGAGAAUGGACUUAAGGUGCCUUGAGUGAAAGCAGGGAGACUAGUUUAAAAAGCUUUGCUUCUUGAUGAAGCUGGAUUAUAAAACAAAUGUUAGUAUAUCUUCUGUUCAAACAGCAUCUGUUUUAUGUUUGCUGCGUUUCUUCUUAGGUUAUUUUCUUAAUUACCUGGACUGCUGAGUCAUUCUGAGUGGGAAAUACUGCCUUUGAAUAUGUGUAUAUUUUAGUUAGAGUAUUAACUGUUAUUAACUGCUUAAUGGACUACAUAGGGCUACUUUUAUUUAAAAUUUAGUGUAAAAAGUUUGGGUAAAGAUUUAUAAUAAUUAUAACUUUUGUUUAUUCUAUUACAGAUAUCUAAACACACAUCUUAAAAGCUGAGAUGAUGGUAUAUAUACAGUUGACCUUUUAACCUCAUAUUAUCUCAUGUGUAUUUUUUGUUUUUGAGCCGUAGUUCCAAAAAAGUUUUAAAAUUGUGAAUUAUAACAAACAGAAAAUUGCAUACAAAAUAAGUGAAUUAUUAUAUAACAGAUAUAUACCUCCCAAGAAAUAUUACAGGCAACCAAAAAUCUUUAUGAUAGUUCCAUCAAUAUGAAAACUGUCUUUCAAAGUGGUAAAAUAACAUUUUAUUGUUAUACUUUAUAAUAGCUGGUAUUUAAACUAUGGAAGGAAUAAUUAAUGUAAUCAGACACCAGUUGACAAAGUAUUGACAGCCUGUGUUUCAAAACAUAAAUUGUAAGUUAAUUAUUUGGAAACUACAUUUUUUUUAAAACCUAUGAAAAAUCUAUUCUGAAUGGUGGAUAGAUUCUAGGGCCUGCCUAUCAAAAGGUUACUUGCUCUGUAAUGCUUAACUUUAGUGUUGGUUUUGGUCUUGGGUUUUGUAACUAGAAGGGGUAGAUUGAUUAGGACUUCACUUUAUAAACAUUUAAAAUCCUCAGAAUCUGUCUGGGAGGGCUUUCCCACAUUCUAGUGCAGCUGGUUAGAAUUACGCAAUUUGACCUGGAAA